Molecule: ribosomal RNA, 647 nt
Filed under: Collybia nuda
Lineage: Eukaryota; Fungi; Basidiomycota; Agaricomycetes; Agaricales; Clitocybaceae
Description: eukaryotic LSU rRNA
Rfam family: 5.8S ribosomal RNA (bases 263-416)
Source: RNAcentral
UUCCGUAGGUGAACCUGCGGAAGGAUCAUUAUUGAAUAAACUUGGUUGGGUUGUGCUGGCUUUUCGGAGCAUGUGCACGCCUAGCGCCAUUUUUACCACCUGUGCACAUUUUGUAGAUUUGGAACAAUUCUCGGGUUUACUCGGUUUGAGGAAUGCUAUGCCAAAAGCUUAGCUUUCCUUGUGUUUCAAGUCUAUGUUUUUAUAUACCCCAUACGAAUGUAAUAGAAUGUCAUUAAUGGGCUUAUAGCCUUUAAAUUAAUACAACUUUCAACAACGGAUCUCUUGGCUCUCGCAUCGAUGAAGAACGCAGCGAAAUGCGAUAAGUAAUGUGAAUUGCAGAAUUCAGUGAAUCAUCGAAUCUUUGAACGCACCUUGCGCUCCUUGGUAUUCCGAGGAGCAUGCCUGUUUGAGUGUCAUUAAAUUCUCAACCUUUUCAGCUUUUACAAGUUGUAUUGGCUUGGAUGUGGAGGUUUUGCAGGCUUCUUAAGAAGUCAGCUCCUCUUAAAUACAUUAGCGGAACCUUUGUGGACCAGCUUUGGUGUGAUAAUUAUCUACGCCAUGGUUGUAAAGCAGCUUUAUAUGGGGUUCAGCUUCUAACAGUCCAUUUACUUGGACAAUUUCUGACAUCUUGACCUCAAAUCAGGUAG